GCACUGCUGAGGAGUCUAACAACAGGGCGAAACGUCCGUCCAGUGU
Molecule: non-coding RNA, 46 nt
Filed under: Schistosoma haematobium
Lineage: Eukaryota; Metazoa; Platyhelminthes; Trematoda; Strigeidida; Schistosomatidae
Source: RNAcentral